Helianthus annuus (common sunflower) is the source of this 417-nucleotide long non-coding RNA. RefSeq lists it as uncharacterized. The record is from RefSeq and is a predicted model, not a curated record. The transcript is spliced from 3 exons. NCBI's taxonomy places the organism in Eukaryota, Viridiplantae, Streptophyta, Magnoliopsida, Asterales, Asteraceae.
ACAGAGAGGAGCAAGAGGGGAUUAAACCCUAGUUUAUCAAAAUCCACAAGAAUCAAGUGAAAUUUUAAGAAAAUCGAAAGCAUAAACAACGAAUUCUAAGCUCCUACAUCUGUUCUUCGAAGUGACAUAAAGGAAGAGGGCUCAAGUACUAAGAAGUCGGAAGGCUUACAGGAUCGAGGGUAAAUCCCCGGCUUAGGCGAUUGGACGGCUUGGAACGUGCACACUUGAUUCAUGCUCGCCUCACGCUUCCGUCAUAAGUUAUUUCGAUAUGGGUUAAAUUUUGGGUCGGAUGUAUUAAAACUUAUGUAGUAUGUCGAUGUCCGUGUCGUUGGGUCGAACUUAGUAUAUGUAGUUUUGUUACAUACAAUGUAAACUUUGUCCAUUUUUUGGAUUUUAUCAAGAAUGUUAGUUGUCGAA